AUUUAUUUAGUAUAUAGUACAUUUGACUUCCAAUCAAAAAGUUUGAUUUUUUUUAAUCAAAAUAAAUA
Molecule: transfer RNA, 68 nt
Filed under: Palaeoagraecia brunnea
Lineage: Eukaryota; Metazoa; Arthropoda; Insecta; Orthoptera; Tettigoniidae
Description: tRNA-Gly
Source: RNAcentral